GAUGAACGCUAGCGGCAGGCUUAACACAUGCAAGUCGAGGGGCAGCAUAAUGGAUAGCAAUAUCUAUGGUGGCGACCGGCGCACGGGUGCGUAACGCGUAUGCAACCUACCUUUAACAGGGGGAUAACACUGAGAAAUUGGUACUAAUACCCCAUAAUAUCAUAGAAGGCAUCUUUUAUGGUUGAAAAUUCCGAUGGUUAGAGAUGGGCAUGCGUUGUAUUAGCUAGUUGGUGGGGUAACAGCUCACCAAGGCGACGAUACAUAGGGGGACUGAGAGGUUAACCCCCCAGACUGGUACUGAGACACGGACCAGACUCCUACGGGAGGCAGCAGUGAGGAAUAUUGAUCAAUGGACGCAAGUCUGAACCAGCCAUGCCGCGUGCAGGAUGACGGCUCUAUGAGUUGUAAACUGCUUUUGUACGAGGGUAAACGCAGAUACGUGUAUCUGUCUGAAAGUAUCGUACGAAUAAGGAGCGGCUAACUCCGUG
This 488-nucleotide ribosomal RNA is filed under the name uncultured bacterium. RNAcentral describes it as "partial 16S ribosomal RNA". It matches the Rfam family "Bacterial small subunit ribosomal RNA", at positions 28 to 507 of the family's 1533-position model. The record is from RNAcentral.